GCGGAAUUAGUUCAGUUGGUAGAACGCUAGCCUUCCAAGCUCGAUGUCACCGGUUCGAGUCCGGUAUUCCGCU
RNAcentral lists this transfer RNA (73 nucleotides) under Pleurastrosarcina brevispinosa. RNAcentral's name for it is "Chlorosarcina brevispinosa tRNA-Gly". It matches the Rfam family "tRNA". From Rfam's summary of the family: Transfer RNA (tRNA) molecules are approximately 80 nucleotides in length. Their secondary structure includes four short double-helical elements and three loops (D, anti-codon, and T loops). Lineage: Eukaryota; Viridiplantae; Chlorophyta; Trebouxiophyceae. The record is from RNAcentral.